UUACCUGUUCUUUUUGUGGUAAAUUGGGUCACAGUGAAACUGUUUGUGCAUGGACCCUGCGUAAAGAUGACACGCACAAAUCGAGAAAUGGUCCAAAUUUUU
Molecule: small nuclear RNA, 102 nt
Filed under: Phaseolus vulgaris (common bean)
Lineage: Eukaryota; Viridiplantae; Streptophyta; Magnoliopsida; Fabales; Fabaceae
Source: RNAcentral